UUCUCGUUAGAAUAGUGGUCAGUAUCCCUGCCUGUCACGUGGGAGACCGGGGUUUGAUUCCCCGAUGGGGAG
This 72-nucleotide transfer RNA is filed under the name Poecilia formosa (Amazon molly). It matches the Rfam family "tRNA". From Rfam's summary of the family: Transfer RNA (tRNA) molecules are approximately 80 nucleotides in length. Their secondary structure includes four short double-helical elements and three loops (D, anti-codon, and T loops). The record is from Rfam by way of RNAcentral. Lineage: Eukaryota; Metazoa; Chordata; Actinopteri; Cyprinodontiformes; Poeciliidae.